UACGGUCAUAACACAUUGAAACAUCGGUUCCCGUACGAUUACUGAAUUUAAGCAACGUCGAGCCUAAUCAGUAUCUAGAUGGGUGACCGAUUGGGAAUACCAGGUCUU
Acanthosepion pharaonis is the source of this 108-nucleotide non-coding RNA. NCBI's taxonomy places the organism in Eukaryota, Metazoa, Mollusca, Cephalopoda, Sepiida, Sepiidae. The record is from the annotation of a GenBank genome assembly.